CAAAGUUCACAUAUGAUGCUUCAUUACUUUCGUUCUCCUGACAAAACUUGAUGUCAUCUUUUAACUGACUUAAAAUAAGUAGCACUGCUAUUAGAAGUUUUCAUGAAUUGUUGCUAUAUCAUUUCCAUAUAUGUUUGACAGGGUGUAAGCUGUGAGGUCCAGAUACUGCAAGAUUUCAUCUUUGUUGAUUUUUGUUACAAGACUCUGCAGUUAAUCAGCAAUAUUAGAUGUGACACGGAUCCGCAUUUUGCAGAUCCAUGGACUUCCAGCAAAAGUUUAUUAAAAAAAAAGGUGUUGAAAUCCAAAUUCUGCAAUGCAAGAUCUACAUCCUGCAUGUGUUGCUAGAGUCCACGGGAUGCAAGUAUUGAGAUCCAGAUCCUGCAAGGCCUAUUCUUUUUGGAAAUGGGGCAUUGGUUACAAGACUCCCCCUACUAUCAUUCAGCAGUAUGAGAGCAACAUGGAUCUGCAUUUUGCAAGCCAUACUGAAGAAUUAAUUGAAGAAUAAGGUGUUCCAGUAAAUAUCUGCACCAUGAGGCUGACUCUUCAAGUGAUACUGCUGAAGUUGAAAUGGUAGGAAUGGGAUCCAUUUGAUGAAAUGGCUGCUCUUCCUGGGAUGAAUGACUAAGAUGUUGCAGGGACUUAAAGGUUAUCCAUGUAGCCAUUGCAACAGCUGCUUUGGUCAUUCAAGUAGAGGUGUUUGGAAUAUGGGUUUUAAUUUUGAUCAUGGAGGAAGCUGACCAAGCCUGUGGAAAAGACCAGUGAUUUUUCAUCAUGGUGUGAAGAUACUGAUGCUGAUGUAAAUGAGUUGCAGUACUAUUUGUCGUGUAUGUAUCCCUGAUCAUAGUGAAGGUUGCAGUGUUCCUGAUCCCUCAAUACCUCCUUGACAAACAAGUGGAUCUGCAAUUUUGCCAUUCCUUUAUAGAUGUGUUGAUAUUUUCUACUCUGAUGCUGUAAAUAAACUGUAUUGCCUUAC
Long non-coding RNA from Penaeus monodon (black tiger shrimp), 973 nucleotides. RefSeq lists it as uncharacterized. Lineage: Eukaryota; Metazoa; Arthropoda; Malacostraca; Decapoda; Penaeidae. The transcript has 12 exons. The record is from RefSeq and is a predicted model, not a curated record.